UGUUAUAGCCAUAUCUCCCUGCAGCCAAGACCAGUUAAUCACUGAAGCUAAGCAGAGCAAAGCCUGGUCAAUAUCUGGAUGGGAGACCACAUGAGAAAGCUAGGUUGUUGCUGGAA
RNAcentral lists this ribosomal RNA (116 nucleotides) under Danio rerio (zebrafish). The record is from RNAcentral. Lineage: Eukaryota; Metazoa; Chordata; Actinopteri; Cypriniformes; Danionidae.